Molecule: ribosomal RNA, 446 nt
Filed under: uncultured bacterium
Lineage: Bacteria
Description: partial 16S ribosomal RNA
Rfam family: Bacterial small subunit ribosomal RNA
Source: RNAcentral
CCUACGGGUGGCAGCAGUCGAGAAUUAUUCACAAUGGGGGAAACCCUGAUGGUGCGACGCCGCGUGGGGGAAUGAAGGUCUUCGGAUUGUAAACCCCUGUCAUGUGGGAGCAAAUUAAAAAGAUAGUACCACAAGAGGAAGUGACGGCGAACCCUGUGCCAGCAGCCGCGGUAAUACAGGGGGCUCAAGCGCUGUUCGGAAUAACUGGGCGUAAAGCGGGCGUAGGCUGUUUUGUAAGUAGUGUGGGAAAGGCGCGGGCUCAACCCGCGGACGGCACAUGAUACUGCGAGACUAGAGUAAUGGAGGGGGAACCGGAAUUCUUGGUGUAGCAGUGAAAUGCGUAGAUAUCGAGAGGAACACUCGUGGCGAAGGCGGGUUCCUGGACAUUAACUGACGCUGAGGCACGAAGGCCAGGGGAGCGAAAGGGAUUAGAUACCCUUGUAGUC